Molecule: small nuclear RNA, 114 nt
Organism: Syngnathoides biaculeatus (alligator pipefish)
Lineage: Eukaryota; Metazoa; Chordata; Actinopteri; Syngnathiformes; Syngnathidae
Product: U5 spliceosomal RNA
Exons: 1
Source: RefSeq, a predicted model, not a curated record
GAACUCUUGUUUCUCUUCAAAAUCGCAUAAAUCUUUCACCUUUUACUAAAGAUUUUUGUGUGGAGGAACAGCAAGAGUCUAUCACAAUUUUUGAUGCUCUGCGUGAGUGUAGCU